This 559-nucleotide long non-coding RNA is filed under the name Homo sapiens (human). RNAcentral's name for it is "non-protein coding lnc-PSME2-1:4". The record is from RNAcentral. Lineage: Eukaryota; Metazoa; Chordata; Mammalia; Primates; Hominidae.
GGGGAGGUGAAAAGCAAGUAGGGUGGGGGGACCCUUGAAACUCUCACUUGCCCAUCUUUGUCCACUCAGUUGGAUAAUCAGAAACUGGUGCCUCAGCCUCGUGUGCCCCCGGUCAUCGUCCUGGAGAACCAAGGUCUCCGCUGGGUCCCUAAGGAUAAGAACUUGUGAGUACCCCACUCCCUCUACCUCUUCUUAGAAGCCCAAGGCUCCUGGGUCUCCUCUGUCCUUGGCCCUGCCCCAAGGGUCUUUCUCUAGACCCAAUCUCUGUUAAGUCUGUGUCUGGACCCACUACUUGCUGUUUGACCUCCAUGGGGGUUACUAUUUCAGAGUGAUGUGGAGGGACUGGGAAGAGUCACGGCAGAUGGUGGGAGCUCUACUGGAAGAUCGGGCCCACCAGCACCUUGUGGACUUUGACUGCCACCUUGAUGACAUCCGGCAGGACUGGACCAACCAGCGGCUCAACACUCAAAUCACCCAGUGGGUUGGUCCCACUAAUGGAAAUGGAAAUGCCUGAGCCAGGGCCAGCGGGGCCCGGUUCCAAUAAAGAGACUUGGGCUGA